AUUGACCUCGGCUGAACUUAA
This 21-nucleotide ribosomal RNA is filed under the name Gallowayella borealis. RNAcentral's name for it is "Xanthomendoza borealis partial 28S ribosomal RNA". Lineage: Eukaryota; Fungi; Ascomycota; Lecanoromycetes; Teloschistales; Teloschistaceae. The record is from RNAcentral.